UAUAGCGGCCAUGGCGGCAGGGAAACUCCUGAUCCCAUCCCGAACUCAGAAGAUAAGCCUGCCCGCGUUCUAUAUUGUACUGAAGUGCGCGAGCCUUUGGAAAGUAUAGAUCGCUGCUAUGC
This 122-nucleotide ribosomal RNA is filed under the name Syntrophaceae bacterium. Lineage: Bacteria; Pseudomonadati; Thermodesulfobacteriota; Syntrophia; Syntrophales; Syntrophaceae. The record is from RNAcentral.